Small nuclear RNA from Phyllostomus discolor (pale spear-nosed bat), 165 nucleotides. RefSeq annotates it as U1 spliceosomal RNA. The transcript has a single exon. The record is from RefSeq and is a predicted model, not a curated record. NCBI's taxonomy places the organism in Eukaryota, Metazoa, Chordata, Mammalia, Chiroptera, Phyllostomidae.
AUACUUAACCUGGCAGGUCAGAUACCAUGAUCGUGAAAGUGGUUUUCCUAGGGCGAGUCUUAUCCAUUGCACUCUGGGUGUGCUGACCCCUGCAAUUUCCCCAAAUGUGGGAAACCUGACUGCAUAAUUUGUAGUAGAGGGGGACUGUAUUCAUGAUCUCUCCUA